ACGGGUGAGUAACACGUAUCCAACCUGCCGUCUACUCUUGACAGCCUUCUGAAAGGAAGAUUAAUACAAGAUGGCAUCAUGAGUCCACAUGUUCACAUGAUUAAAGGUAUUCCGGUAGACGAUGGGGAUGCGUUCCAUUAGAUAGUAGGCGGGGUAACGGCCCACCUAGUCUUCGAUGGAUAGGGGUUCUGAGAGGAAGGUCCCCCACAUUGGAACUGAGACACGGUCCAA
RNAcentral lists this ribosomal RNA (231 nucleotides) under uncultured bacterium. RNAcentral describes it as "partial 16S ribosomal RNA". It matches the Rfam family "Bacterial small subunit ribosomal RNA", at positions 102 to 334 of the family's 1533-position model. The record is from RNAcentral.